RNAcentral lists this ribosomal RNA (836 nucleotides) under Streptomyces sp. IM-6958. RNAcentral describes it as "bacterial SSU rRNA". It matches the Rfam family "Bacterial small subunit ribosomal RNA", at positions 38 to 889 of the family's 1533-position model. The record is from RNAcentral. Lineage: Bacteria; Bacillati; Actinomycetota; Actinomycetes; Kitasatosporales; Streptomycetaceae.
GGCGGCGUGCUUAACACAUGCAAGUCGAACGAUGAACCACUUCGGUGGGGAUUAGUGGCGAACGGGUGAGUAACACGUGGGCAAUCUGCCCUUCACUCUGGGACAAGCCCUGGAAACGGGGUCUAAUACCGGAUAACACUCUGUCUGCAUGGGACGGGGGUUAAAAGCUCCGGCGGUGAAGGAUGAGCCCGCGGCCUAUCAGCUUGUUGGUGAGGUAAUGGCUCACCAAGGCGACGACGGGUAGCCGGCCUGAGAGGGCGACCGGCCACACUGGGACUGAGACACGGCCCAGACUCCUACGGGAGGCAGCAGUGGGGAAUAUUGCACAAUGGGCGAAAGCCUGAUGCAGCGACGCCGCGUGAGGGAUGACGGCCUUCGGGUUGUAAACCUCUUUCAGCAGGGAAGAAGCGAAAGUGACGGUACCUGCAGAAGAAGCGCCGGCUAACUACGUGCCAGCAGCCGCGGUAAUACGUAGGGCGCAAGCGUUGUCCGGAAUUAUUGGGCGUAAAGAGCUCGUAGGCGGCUUGUCACGUCGAUUGUGAAAGCCCGAGGCUUAACCUCGGGUCUGCAGUCGAUACGGGCUAGCUAGAGUGUGGUAGGGGAGAUCGGAAUUCCUGGUGUAGCGGUGAAAUGCGCAGAUAUCAGGAGGAACACCGGUGGCGAAGGCGGAUCUCUGGGCCAUUACUGACGCUGAGGAGCGAAAGCGUGGGGAGCGAACAGGAUUAGAUACCCUGGUAGUCCACGCCGUAAACGGUGGGCACUAGGUGUUGGCGACAUUCCACGUCGUCGGUGCCGCAGCUAACGCAUUAAGUGCCCCGCCUGGGGAGUACGGCCGC